Alexandromys fortis (reed vole) is the source of this 744-nucleotide long non-coding RNA. RefSeq lists it as uncharacterized. The transcript has 3 exons. NCBI's taxonomy places the organism in Eukaryota, Metazoa, Chordata, Mammalia, Rodentia, Cricetidae. The record is from RefSeq and is a predicted model, not a curated record.
UCUGGCAAUCGGCGCUCCGAAUCUUAAGGUUCCGUUAUGGUCGCAGCACGUUGUCGCCGAUCCGCGAUUUAAGGCCUGAAGCGCAGGCAAGAACGUCCUAUAGAUCGUGUCUGAGGGAUGCUUCAGCCUCAGCACUCGUCUGGGCGUUACGGGAAGCAGAGGCAUAGGCUUCGCUUUGCGUGGUGUCUGUAGCUCCUGGACUCUGGGUUCCGGGAUGGGCCCCUUACCCUCUCGCGAGGUUUCCCAGAUUCAUUUUCCUUGCUUGUUUUAUCCAUACAUGUGGGGACACAGAAGAAGGACGCUUCCCCAGUACCCUGUUGGUUUAAACCCGGGGAAGAAACGUGUAAUGCCAGGGCAGACGGCUCUUCUAGAAGACCUAAGUAUCCGUAACUCCAGCCCCUUGGAAUCUGACGCCUCUGGCCUGCACUCUUGGGCACACACCUUCAUGCAGGUUCUUGAAGAGGCCUGAGCUAUCAGAUCCCACUGGAGCUGAGUUUACAGGUAGUUGUGAGUUGCCUGUUGUGGGUGCAGGGAAUUAAAUUCAAUACAUGCUCUUAGCCACUGAGCCAUCACUCCAGCCCUGACUCAGUUUUUAGUUGGAUAUGUACUUUUGCUGAACAUAAACACUGCCACCUUGUGCCCAAACCUUGUACAGGUGUGCGAUGAGGGCUCUAAAAGGACCAGGAACAGCUGGCAGAUUUGAUUUAAAUAGCUGAAAUUUUUAUGAAUAGGUAAUGUAGGGAU